GGUGGACAAUGGCGGAAGGGUGAGUAACGCGUGGGUAACCUGCCCCCGAAUUGGGGAUAACUCCGCGAAAGCGGUGCUAAUACCGAAUACGGUCUCCCGGGGCAUCUCGGGAUGAUCAAAGGCGGGGAUCCUUCGGGACCUGCCGCUUAGGGAGGAGCCCGCGUCCCAUCAGCUUGUUGGUGAGGUAACUGCUCACCAAGGCUUACGGGUAGCUGGUCUGAGAGGAUGGUCAGCCACACUGGGACUGAGACACUGCCCAGACUCCUACGGGAGGCUGCAGUCGAGGAUCAUUCGCAAUGCGCGAAAGCGUGACGAUGCGACGCUGCGUGGAGGAUGAAGGCCUUAGGGUCGUAAACUCCUGUCAUUCGGGAAAAAUGGCCCCGGGGUUAAUACCCUCAGGGUUUGAUGGUACCGAAAGAGGAAGCCACGGCUAACUCUGUGCCAGCAGCCGCGGUAAUACAGAGGUGGCGAGCGUUGUUCGGAUUUACUGGGCGUAAAGGGUGCGUAGGUGGUCUUGUGUGUCGGGUGUGAAAUCCCACGGCUCAACCGUGGAAUGGCAUUCGAAACUGCAAGACUUGAGUGCAGGAGGGGAGAGCGGAAUUCUUGGUGUAGCGGGGAAAUGUGUUGAUAUCAAGAAGAACACCGGUGGCGAAGGCGGCUCUCUGGAAUGUUACUGACACUGAGGCACGAAAGUUGGGGUAGCGAACAGGAUUAGAUACCCUGGUAGUCCCAACCGUAAACGGUGUACACUUGGCGUGGGAGGUAUUGACCCCUUCCGUGCCGGAGCUAACGCGUUAAGUGUACCGCCUGGGGAGUACGGCCGCAAGGCUAAAACUCAAAGAAAUUGACGGGGGCCCGCACAAGCGGAGGAGCAUGUGGCUUAAUUCGAUGCAACGCGAAGAACCUUACCUGGGCUUGACAUGGUGCUGCACGCCCACCGAAAGGUGGGAAGCCUUCGAGGGUGCACCACAGGUGCUGCAUGGCUGUCGUCAGUUCGUGCCGUGAGGUGUCGGGUUAAGUCCCGCAACGAACGCAACCCCUGUGUUUAGUUGCCAGCGGUUAAAGUAAAUCUGCGAGCACUCUAGACAGACUGCCUGUAUACGCAGGAGGAAGGUGGGGAUGACGUCAAGUCCGUAUGGCCCUUACGCCCUGGGCUGCACACGUGCUACAAUGGUCGGUACAAUUGGACGCAAUACCGCAAGGUGGAGCAAAUCCCUAAAACCGGCCCCAGUUCGGAUUGGAGUCUGCAACUCGACUCCAUGAAGUUGGAUUCGCUAGUAACGGCGCAUCAGCUACGGCGCCGUGAAUACGUUCCCGGGCCUUGUACACACCGCCCGUCACAUCAUGAAAGCCGUCUGCACCCGAAGUCGCUGAUGC
RNAcentral lists this ribosomal RNA (1377 nucleotides) under uncultured prokaryote. Its description in RNAcentral is "partial 16S ribosomal RNA". It matches the Rfam family "Bacterial small subunit ribosomal RNA", at positions 87 to 1436 of the family's 1533-position model. The record is from RNAcentral.